UUCAUCUUUUUACUUUCAAGUUGUCUAAUCAUUAUGUGCUACAUUUGUUUCUAAUAAUCAGCACAUAAUUACAUUCUCUUUUUAAAUUGAAUCUGAAGAUCUUUGUCUUUUUACAGAGAGAGAGAGAGAAAGAGAGAGAAAACCUUCUGAAAUAUAAACAAUCCUCUCUGGGGAGAAGAAGGAAGACGCAGACUGUAGGUUUUAACCUUGCUGCAAUCCCUAGUUUACUGUGCAAUUGCUAAAGUGAUAUCUUCAGAUGCUGUGUUGCAUUUGGGUGACUACCACGUCGCUUGUGUUGAGGAGCCAUGCUAGUGCUGCUCAGGUAGCUGUCAAGGGAGAGUCCUGCAUCCACACCUGCCUGCAUAUCAUCCAUAGAUUCUGCAGCAGAAAAGGCAUUUGUCCAUUGCCCAAGAUUUUGCUGCCUCUCAUCCAAGUAGCCCCAUUGUGAAGACGCCACCCAUUUUUCUACGGCUCAGGCAUUUUAUGACCCCUGGGAACCACAGAACCAAAGACCAUUUUGCUGAUGGCCCUCACUAACACAGCUCCAACCACUUUAAUCCCUGUCGUCUCUGUCAAGUAAAUUCUGUGAUUUUUAUUCGUUUUGGACAGUCGUGAAGGCCUAUGAAGAGGCCCAGGCCCAGCAAGGGAAGGGAGGAUUGCAAAGAGAGACCCAGGCUUUGGAGGCUAGAAGUUCCAAGGCAGGGUGUCAACAUGGCCAGAUUUUGGGACUCUGCCAGACUCCAGUGUGGGAAUGAAUGAGAAAUGGUACCCUGCUCAAGGAGCUGAGAGAGCUAAAUUGCCCAAGGACCUACUGAUGGAGAGCAGCAGAGCCCACGUGGGAAUCCAGGUGUUAUGAUUUCUGAAUGAGUGCUCUUCCCAGGAGGCCAUAUUGCUUCUGAAGUUUAAAAGUCUGACCAACACCACAGGGAAUUCUUGACAGUGAAGUAAGCAAAUCAGUAUCUCUAACUUAUGGUAGGUUAUUAAGGUAUUUGGGACUAUUAAAAACAAACUUGCAGAAUCUGAGGUAAUGGGCCCUAAAGUCCCUACAAUAGGGAUCAAACUCUAAACCUAAGAAACAUCCCCAAACACAACUACUAAAACAUCAAAGAUAUUGGUUUUAAAAUACAAAAGCAGUAAAGCCAGUAUUUAAAGUAUCAAGACAAGUAUUUAAAUGUAAUUGAGGUCCUUUCUUAAUUACUUAAUUAAAGCACUUCUACAUAUGUGGGAUAGGGAAUCUUCAAUUUCCAGCUUGAACAGCUCUUCUGUGCUCCUUGCUGUGGGGAGAAACUUUUAAGACUUGGUAGCUGAUUGGAUAUGUAUCCCUUCAUCAGGAAAAUAAGCAGUCAAAGCAGGGCAAAGGGAACUCACAACUACUGAGUAGCAUCCAUGCUCCCUGAGUUUUAUGAGUGCCAUGUCAUUUAAUUACCAAAACAAUUUUAUAUGGUGGGGAUUACUGUUUUCAUUUUAAUGAAAACUCUAAAUUCAAAUAUUUUAAAUACUAUGGCCAAGGGCACAUAGUUUGUAAAUGAUACAGGCAGAAAUGGAACUAGUCUGGUCUGAUUCCAAGGUUCAUGUUCUUUGCAGCAUACCCUACCUCCUCCGGGGGUUAGGGCAAGAUUUAAAUGAAAGAAAAUACGUCCGAAGGUGAAGUAGGAAGAUGGAAGUAGGGAAAGGGCUAACAUUUAGAUUUUUGUUGAAUUGACGAAUGUUAUCAGCAGAAGACCUGGGUUUAUAAUCCUCAUUAUUCCCUGAUCAAAAAUCACUUUUCCACAACUGUUGUCAAGAAGCAAGCUCAGUUUCCUCCCUCCCUUGUGCUGUAUCCAGGAGCAAGCCCUAAUACUCUUAGAAGAUCUUCUGAGAGAGUCUGUAUCUACUGAGAAGUAAGAAGAUGAAAUCCUGAGCCCUGGAAGUAGAUAGCUUAUGUUUGAAUCCCACCUUUGCCACCAACUAGAUGUGUGUAGACAAACUGUUUAACCUUUGUGUGACUUGGUUGUGUCAAUGGGGAUGCUAAUAAUAAUGCCUAAGUCCUAAACUUGUGGGGAGUAAAUAAAAUAAUACAUAUAAAGAA
This is a non-coding RNA of Microcebus murinus (gray mouse lemur), 2068 nucleotides long. NCBI's taxonomy places the organism in Eukaryota, Metazoa, Chordata, Mammalia, Primates, Cheirogaleidae. The record is from RefSeq and is a predicted model, not a curated record.